RNAcentral lists this ribosomal RNA (499 nucleotides) under uncultured bacterium. RNAcentral's name for it is "partial 16S ribosomal RNA". It matches the Rfam family "Bacterial small subunit ribosomal RNA", at positions 30 to 523 of the family's 1533-position model. The record is from RNAcentral.
AUUGAACGCUGGCGGUAUGCUUAACACAUGCAAGUCGAACGAUGAGAAAGAGCUUGCUCUUUCGAUUAGUGGCGGACGGGUGCGUAACGCGUAGGAAUCUACCUAUUAGUGGGGGACAACUUAGGGAAACUUAAGCUAAUACCGCAUACGCCCUACGGGGGAAAGAAGGGGAUCGCAAGACCUUAUGCUAAUAGAUGAGCCUGCAUAGGAUUAGCUAGUUGGUGGGGUAAAAGCUCACCAAGGCGACGAUCCUUAACUGGUUUGAGAGAAUUGUCAGUAACACUGGAACUGAGACACGGUCCAGACUCCUACGGGAGGCAGCAGUGGGGAAUAUUGGACAAUGGGCGAAAGCCUGAUCCAGCAAUACCGCGUGUGUGAAGAAGGCCUUAGGGUUGUAAAGCACUUUCAAUUGGAAGGAAAACCUCGAAGCUAAUACCUUCGAGUUUGACAUUACCUUUAGAAGAAGCACCGGCUAACUCCGUGCCAGCAGCCGCCGUAA